RNAcentral lists this ribosomal RNA (476 nucleotides) under uncultured bacterium. RNAcentral describes it as "bacterial SSU rRNA". It matches the Rfam family "Bacterial small subunit ribosomal RNA", at positions 335 to 803 of the family's 1533-position model. The record is from RNAcentral.
ACUCCUACGGGAGGCAGCAGUGGGGAAUAUUGCACAAUGGGCGCAAGCCUGAUGCAGCCAUGCCGCGUGUAUGAAGAAGGCCUUCGGGUUGUAAAGUACUUUCAGCAGUGAGGAAGGUGGGUAUGUUAAUAGCAUACACAUUUGACGUUAGCUGCAGAAGAAGCACCGGCUAACUCCGUGCCAGCAGCCGCGGUAAUACGGAGGGUGCGAGCGUUAUCCGGAUUUAUUGGGUUUAAAGGGUCCGUAGGCGGAUUAAUAAGUCAGUGGUGAAAUCCCAUCGCUUAACGAUGGAACUGCCAUUGAUACUGUUAGUCUUGAAUGAGGGUGCAGUGGUUGGAAUGUGUAGUGUAGCGGUGAAAUGCAUGAUAUUACACAGAACACCGAUUGCGAAGGCAGAUCACUAACCCUAAAUUGACGCUGAGGGGACGAAAGGCGUGGGGGAGCGAACAGGAUUAGAUACCCUGGUAGUGUACUGU